Molecule: long non-coding RNA, 1112 nt
Organism: Oreochromis niloticus (Nile tilapia)
Lineage: Eukaryota; Metazoa; Chordata; Actinopteri; Cichliformes; Cichlidae
Exons: 4
Source: RefSeq, a predicted model, not a curated record
AUGUCCAUUUUUAUGUUAAGAUAUGCUACUGAUUAUCUGAGAAAGAUGAAUUGAAUAUUAAAUGAAAAAUCUAAAAUUUGAAUUAUUACAAAACUGCACUAUGGACUGGUGUCAUGUUUAACAAACUUGGUGCUGGCUCUAACAUUGGAUUGGCUUCUGCUUCAUUUCUAUAUUCUAUUCCAGUGUCCUAAAAAAAGAGUUCUUUGUCUUUAAACGUCGUUAAUGUUGCAGUCCUUAAAGGCAUUCACCUGCUUUUUCUGCCACCUGCUGCGAUGGCUCUUGAUAAAACUUAAAUAUGUGGGAUGAUCUUGGACAGUUUAAAGUGGGCCUCUGUUCCUGUAAAGUAGAUUGUGGUAAGGACCCGACACGCACACUGGAUUUCAUUCACUAUAGGUUAGUUUUAUUUUCGUUCUGAUGUUCCAGCAUCAGUCACACAGGAACAGCUGCUUCUUCCUCCCAGUCUCCGUCCCCGUCAUCACUAUUUAAAAAUAGAGAGAAGAAGAUGAUCACCUUGAGCAGUCACACCCGCCCUCUCAGCCACACCUCGGCACCGCCCCGAGAGCUCACUGUAACACCCCUCUACUGCAGCAGGCCGGAGACCACACCCCCGCCACAUAGAUCAUAUCACUACUGUGAGAUAAAAGUGAAAGAGCAGCUCACAGAUCAGUGGGAAGUCACAUCAGGAGAACAUUAAGUAUUUGUAGCAUGUGAUUCCCUUGUGUUUUCAGUCUGUGAAACAGCUGUUUGUCCCUUCACCAGGCAGUGAUGGCAGCAGCAGCGUUCAGGAGCAGAGGACUGGCUGGUGUCAGAAACACCAACGUUUUAAUCCUCAUCUUUCUGCUGUCCCUGGUUUAUGUCACAAAUUCACUGAUGAAAAUUCAUUGAGAGUAACAAACUAGAGACUACAUCCAAAUAUGCCUUCAGAGGACUCAGGGACCUGACUCACUUGUCUUUGGCAAACAAUAACAUUAAAGCCUUGCCCAGGGACCUCCUCAAUUCAAUUCAAUUCAAUUCAAUUUUAUUUAUAUAGCGCCAAAUCACAACAAAAGUCGCCUCAAGGCGCUUUAUAUUGUACAAUAGAUCGCACAAUAAUAAAUACAGAGAAAACCCCA